GAAUUCGCCCUUAGAGUUUGAUCCUGGCUCAGGAUGAACGCUGGCGGCGUGCCUAACACAUGCAAGUCGAACGGAGUUCUUAAGGAAUGCGACUUCGGUCAAAUGACUUUUGAACUUAGUGGCGGACGGGUGAGUAACGCGUGAGCAACCUGCCUUUCAGAGGGGGAUAACAUUUGGAAACAGAUGCUAAUACCGCAUAAGAUUACAGUACCGCAUGAUACAGUGAUCAAAGGAGCAAUCCGCUGAAAGAUGGGCUCGCGUCCGAUUAGAUAGUUGGUGAGGUAACGGCUCACCAAGUCGACGAUCGGUAGCCGGACUGAGAGGUUGAACGGCCACAUUGGGACUGAGACACGGCCCAGACUCCUACGGGAGGCAGCAGUGGGGAAUAUUGCACAAUGGGCGAAAGCCUGAUGCAGCAACGCCGCGUGAGGGAAGACGGUUUUCGGAUUGUAAACCUCUGUUUUCGGUGACGAACAAAUGACGGUAACCGAGUAGGAAGCCACGGCUAACUACGUGCCAGCAGCCGCGGUAAUACGUAGGUGGCAAGCGUUAUCCGGAAUUACUGGGUGUAAAGGGAGCGCAGGCGGGAUAGCAAGUCAGUUGUGAAAACUAUGGGCUCAACCCAUAAACUGCAGUUGAAACUGUUAUUCUUGAGUGGAGUAGAGGCAAGCGGAAUUCCGAGUGUAGCGGUGAAAUGCGUAGAUAUUCGGAGGAACACCAGUGGCGAAGGCGGCUUGCUGGGCUCUAACUGACGCUGAGGCUCGAAAGUGUGGGGAGCAAACAGGAUUAGAUACCCUGGUAGUCCACACUGUAAACGAUGAUUGCUAGGUGUGGGGGGGCUGACCCCCCCCCUGCCGGAGUUAAC
This 865-nucleotide ribosomal RNA is filed under the name uncultured bacterium. Its description in RNAcentral is "bacterial SSU rRNA". It matches the Rfam family "Bacterial small subunit ribosomal RNA", at positions 1 to 856 of the family's 1533-position model. The record is from RNAcentral.